RNAcentral lists this non-coding RNA (26 nucleotides) under Mus musculus (house mouse). Lineage: Eukaryota; Metazoa; Chordata; Mammalia; Rodentia; Muridae. The record is from RNAcentral.
AGGUGAAGUCUAGAGCACGUGGGAGC